Engraulis encrasicolus (European anchovy) is the source of this 139-nucleotide long non-coding RNA. RefSeq lists it as uncharacterized. NCBI's taxonomy places the organism in Eukaryota, Metazoa, Chordata, Actinopteri, Clupeiformes, Engraulidae. The transcript is spliced from 3 exons. The record is from RefSeq and is a predicted model, not a curated record.
AAAAACACGAAGAUUAUGCUGAGUAAAAUGGAGUUACCGCCCCCCACUUUGAAAACCAGAGAUUUUUUGACAACAUGGCAACAUACAUACCUGGAUGAUAGACCUUUUUACAGCACAUGUCAGAUGGUACAAACACAGC